CCUACGGGAGUCUGCAGUGAGGAAUAUUGGUCAAUGGACGAGAGUCUGAACCAGCCAAGUAGCGUGAAGGAUGACUGCCCUAUGGGUUGUAAACUUCUUUUAUAUGGGAAUAAAAUGUUCCACGUGUGGGAUUUUGUAUGUACCAUAUUAAUAAGGAUCGGCUAACUCCGUGCCAGCAGCCGCGGUAAUACGGAGGAUCCGAGCGUUAUCCGGAUUUAUUGGGUUUAAAGGGAGCGUAGGUGGAUUGUUAAGUCAGUUGUGAAAGUUUGCGGCUCAACCGUAAAAUUGCAGUUGAAACUGGCAGUCUUGAGUACAGUAGAGGUGGGCGGAAUUCGUGGUGUAGCGGUGAAAUGCUUAGAUAUCACGAAGAACUCCGAUUGCGAAGGCAGUUCACUGGACUGCAACUGACACUGAGGCUCGAAAGUGUGGGUAUCAAACAGGAUUAGAUACCCCAGUAGUC
RNAcentral lists this ribosomal RNA (460 nucleotides) under uncultured bacterium. Its description in RNAcentral is "partial 16S ribosomal RNA". It matches the Rfam family "Bacterial small subunit ribosomal RNA", at positions 338 to 795 of the family's 1533-position model. The record is from RNAcentral.